Molecule: long non-coding RNA, 506 nt
Organism: Stegostoma tigrinum
Lineage: Eukaryota; Metazoa; Chordata; Chondrichthyes; Orectolobiformes; Stegostomatidae
Exons: 4
Source: RefSeq, a predicted model, not a curated record
AGUUUCCACUUGGAAGAAAGAUUCACAUCAAAUUGACUGGUCAAGGAAAUGGGACACUGACUGUCCUUAUGGGAACAGGAAAAAUGACAAGCUGGAAAAUUUUGCAAGUAAUCUUUGGGCCAGCCUGGAAUCUUCCCAUCCUCUGGCCAUGACCUUGUGACCCUGCUUGGAGGUUGUACUUACAGUUUCAGAAGUGAUCAAUUCCAGUGAGGAUGUCUGUACUAAGGUGAAAGCUCACGCACAGUUCUUCACGACGGGAAAAAUGGCUCCAUUCAGACUCUGGAGAUUCAGGACACAAUCAUCGCCUUGGAAGCUUCAUCACGAUACUACUUUGCAUUUCUGAAGAGGGAAGAAGAAAUCAAUAUGAAAAUUCAAUUCCAUGGUUUUGGAAGUCCCAUUGAGAACACGAUUCAUUUGCGCCGGCAUAAUGCUCUGACCGAGAAAGAAUUGAAGUUUCCACUUGGAAGAAAGAUUCACAUCAAAUUGACUGGUCAAGGAAAUGGGAC